AGUGGGAUAACUGGGUCAAAUGGUGGUUCCAUUCUAAGUUUUCUAAGGAAUCUCCAUACUGCUUUGCAGAGCGGUUACACCAAUUUGCAGUCCCACCAGCAAU
This 103-nucleotide microRNA precursor is filed under the name Marmota monax (woodchuck). The record is from RNAcentral. Lineage: Eukaryota; Metazoa; Chordata; Mammalia; Rodentia; Sciuridae.